RNAcentral lists this ribosomal RNA (440 nucleotides) under uncultured bacterium. RNAcentral's name for it is "partial 16S ribosomal RNA". It matches the Rfam family "Bacterial small subunit ribosomal RNA", at positions 338 to 795 of the family's 1533-position model. The record is from RNAcentral.
CCUACGUGUGGCAGCAGUGGGGAAUAUUGCACAAUGGGGGAAACCCUGAUGCAGCGACGCCGCGUGGGUGAAGAAGUACUUCGUUAUGUAAAGCUCUAUCAGCAGGGAAGAAAAUGACUGUGCGUGAGUGAGAAGCCCUGGCUAACUACGAGCCAGCAGGCGCGGUAAUACGUAGGGGGCACACGUUCUCCGGAAUUACGGGGGGUAGAGGGAGCGGAGACGGUAGGUCAAGUCUGGUGUGAAAGGCGGGGGCUCAACCCCCGGAGUGCACUGGAAACUGUACGGCUGGAGUGCAGAAGAGGUAAGUGGAAUUCCUAGUGUAGCGGUGAAAUGCGUAGAUAUUAGGAGGAACACCAGUGGCGAAGGCGGCUCACUGGACUGUAACUGACGUUGAGGCUCGAAAGCGUGAGGAGCAAACAGGAUUAGAUACCCUUGUAGUC